This 582-nucleotide ribosomal RNA is filed under the name Triticum aestivum (bread wheat). RNAcentral's name for it is "partial small subunit ribosomal RNA". Lineage: Eukaryota; Viridiplantae; Streptophyta; Magnoliopsida; Poales; Poaceae. The record is from RNAcentral.
AUGAACAAUCAGGAGGGGGUUAAUGCUUUGGGAGUUGAGAGAGUUGAUGGGAGGGACAACCGAAGAAGCAUACCGAGAAGAAAUUCACAUCUGCUUGUCCAAGAUGAUGUAUGUGCUCAUCUUGAUGCCUCGGUAGAUGAUCAUCAUCAUGAAGCCACUGUGAAGGUCCUCGAUUCUUAUAUGCAUUCAGUUUCUGAACCACCUCAACCUUCUUGCUCUUGCUGCUUCGGCCAGCAAGCCUCCCUCCACGGCCGACCCCGACCUUCGCUGCUGCACCAACCCCGCUGCUUUCCUCAUCAAGGUCGAGCUCUCCUACGCGUCGUCGUUGUUGGCUGGAUUGGCCACGGGUUUCCUCUUGUACGGAGGGGAUCUGUACUGGAUGAACUGCUCCGGGGUCUUGCGGUGCUGGCUGAACUGCUCCGGGGCCUCACGGUUCGUGUCUCCGCCAGCGUGCUCGGGUUGGAGCAAGCGAGAACGGAGGAGGAGGAGCUCGCGGCCGCCGGGGAGGGGCUCGUAGCAGGGAGGGGGAGGAGGACGGAUGAAGGAAGGGAGCGGCUAAGGGUUCGUGGGGGUGGCGGCUAG